AUGAAGAAUACUAUGAUUACUGCCAUCUAAUUCCUCACGAGGAAGUAACAGGUAUAUACCCAGGAGAGGAAUCACUGGAUCAUAUGGUAUAUGAAUAUGUCUUCUCAAGUAGAUUUCUCAAUUUCUCUACAGAAAACAAUUUUUAGAAAUAAUAUCCACCAUUAUUGAGUACUUACUACA
Long non-coding RNA from Eubalaena glacialis (North Atlantic right whale), 180 nucleotides. RefSeq lists it as uncharacterized. Lineage: Eukaryota; Metazoa; Chordata; Mammalia; Artiodactyla; Balaenidae. The transcript has 3 exons. The record is from RefSeq and is a predicted model, not a curated record.